Chinchilla lanigera (long-tailed chinchilla) is the source of this 430-nucleotide long non-coding RNA. RefSeq lists it as uncharacterized. The record is from RefSeq and is a predicted model, not a curated record. The transcript has 3 exons. Lineage: Eukaryota; Metazoa; Chordata; Mammalia; Rodentia; Chinchillidae.
GUGCAAACCAGGAAGAGUCCCUCACCAGAGCCAGGCCAUGCUGCCCUGCUCUUAGACUUCCAGCUGCCAGAACUGUGAAGACCCUGGGCUCGGUGAGAAGGAACAGCAUGAUUAUGGCAACCUAUGAACAGAAAGAACCGAGCUUUGGAGACCUAACUACUCAUGGCUCUUGAUCCUACAGCGGAGGGCCGUCUCUUCAAAUAUUUGACCAUUUCCAUAUCUUCUUGCCACAUUCAUCUGCUGGACUCUCCCGGGACAGGGGAACCCAUGAUUUGCCUUCAUAAAAGAUCAACCUCCUAUAUUAAGAUGGAAUAUCUGCUACCAGAAUGGCUUGAUUAUUGGUACUAUGGUAUGAACACAUAAAAGCUAAGCCUUAUUGAUCAUAGAUGUAAAAAUUCCUGAAGAUCUUAACCUGUGUAAACAUUGUCAU